Molecule: small RNA, 210 nt
Filed under: Bos taurus (domestic cattle)
Lineage: Eukaryota; Metazoa; Chordata; Mammalia; Artiodactyla; Bovidae
Source: RNAcentral
UGCUGCCAGGAAGUCCAAAGACCCCACAUGCCACAACUAACAAUUGGUGCCAUCAAAUAAAUUAAUUCAUUUAAAAAAUUAUCUGUAGAAGUCCUAUCCCCCUACACUUUGGAAUGUGACUAUAUUUGUAGAUGAUAUUCUUAACAAGGUAGUUAAACUCAACGAAGGCACUAGGGUAAGCCCUAGUCCCAGGUCUCACGAAUUCCGCUC